GAAGGUAUAGCUCAGUGGUAGAUCACAUGCUUAACACAUUCGAGGUCCUGGGUUCAAUCCCCACUACCUCCA
This 72-nucleotide transfer RNA is filed under the name Camelus bactrianus (Bactrian camel). It matches the Rfam family "tRNA". Rfam says of the family: Transfer RNA (tRNA) molecules are approximately 80 nucleotides in length. RNAcentral also lists the same sequence under 1 other name. Lineage: Eukaryota; Metazoa; Chordata; Mammalia; Artiodactyla; Camelidae. The record is from Rfam by way of RNAcentral.